UACGUAGGGGGCUAGCGUUGUCCGGAAUCAUUGGGCGUAAAGAGCGUGUAGGCGGCCCGGUAAGUCCGCUGUGAAAGUCGGGGGCUCAACCCUCGAAUGCCGGUGGAUACUGUCGGGCUAGAGUGCGGAAGAGGCAAGUGGAAUUCCCGGUGUAGCGGUGAAAUGCGCAGAUAUCGGGAGGAACACCAAUGGCGAAGGCAGCUUGCUGGGACGGUACUGACGCUGAGGCGCGAAAGCGUGGGGAGCAAACAGG
RNAcentral lists this ribosomal RNA (253 nucleotides) under uncultured bacterium. RNAcentral's name for it is "partial 16S ribosomal RNA". It matches the Rfam family "Bacterial small subunit ribosomal RNA", at positions 524 to 776 of the family's 1533-position model. The record is from RNAcentral.